RNAcentral lists this ribosomal RNA (879 nucleotides) under Triticum aestivum (bread wheat). RNAcentral's name for it is "partial small subunit ribosomal RNA". The record is from RNAcentral. Lineage: Eukaryota; Viridiplantae; Streptophyta; Magnoliopsida; Poales; Poaceae.
AUGUUCCGGGCGGCUUCCCAAGCCGGGAUCCUCAAGCCCAUUAGGGCGCGGACGGCCUCCUACAGGGUUUCUCUCUAUGCAGACGAUGCUGGCAUUUUCGCCAACCCGAUCAAAGAAGAGAUCGACGCAAUCGCUAGGAUCCUUGCUUGUUUUGGGGAUGCAUCGGGCCUCAUCACAAAUGUCAGCAAAAGUGAGGUGUUCCCCAUUCGCUGCCAAGACGUCGAUCUCCCGGCAAUCCUCUCGGCCUUCCUGGCCAAGCUGGCCUCGUUCCCCGGCCGAUACCUUGGUCUCCCACUGCAUACCAGGCGGCUCAGAAGGGUUGACCUCCAACCUCUUCUAGACAAGGCCAUGGGCAGGUUGCCGGGCUGGAAGGGGAAGAACCUGGCGCGACCGGGCAGGGUCUCCCUUGCAAAGUCCGUGCUAUGCGCCAUCGCAAAUCAUCACCUCAUGGCUUUCGCGCUUCCCGCUUGGGCAAUCCAAAAGCUUAGUAAGAUCACUCGCAACUUCAUCUAGUGUGGGGAAGACUCAGAAAACGCAUCUGGCGGACACUCUUUGGUCAACUGGAAGACUGUCUGUCAGCCUAAGCCCAUAGGGGGCCUGGGAAUCACGGACCUCGAGAGAUUUGGUAGGGCGCUCCGACUUCGUUGGCCUUGGCUUAUGUGGACUAAUCCUAGCCACCAAUGGGUGGGCUCUGCGGUGCCCUGCGAUGACACGGAUAUGGCGCUCUUCAGGGCUUCUACCACCAUCUCCUUGGGCAAUGGGAGAAAAUCCUUAUUCUGGCAUGAUGACUGGACAGGACGGGGCCCCUUGUCCCGGGCCUUCCCAGAGCUGUACAAAAUUGCCACCAGGAAGGGGAGAACUGUGAUGAAGGAGCUCUAG